RNAcentral lists this small RNA (78 nucleotides) under Serratia marcescens. RNAcentral's name for it is "isrK". It matches the Rfam family "isrK Hfq binding RNA". Lineage: Bacteria; Pseudomonadati; Pseudomonadota; Gammaproteobacteria; Enterobacterales; Yersiniaceae. The record is from RNAcentral.
GCUGCCGCAAAAUCGGCAGCCGGGCGUGGAAACCCGUGUUUAACUAUGGCGACACAACACGCGCCACGCGUGUUUUUU